Non-coding RNA from Oryza sativa Japonica Group (Japanese rice), 2377 nucleotides. The record is from RefSeq and is a predicted model, not a curated record. Lineage: Eukaryota; Viridiplantae; Streptophyta; Magnoliopsida; Poales; Poaceae.
AGACUCUGACACGUACGCACAGCUAGAUCGAAGCCCUGGUCGAGUUUAUAAAUUGAGAUAUAUCCGUCCUCCAUUCUCAGGCCAGUUCUUGCAAGACUCUUGCCGUGUUGAGACUGCAGAAACGAGAGCUAGCUAGCCAGAGGCUGCAAGAAGAUUCUGCACCCAUAGAUCGUCUACCAUGGCCACAAACCCAGGACUCUUCACGGAGUGGCCAUGGAAGAAGCUUGGCAGCUUCAAGUACGUGUUGCUGGCGCCGUGGGUAGCGCACGGGUGGUAUGAGGUGGCGACCAAGGGGUGGCGGGAGGUGGAUCUCGGGUACAUCGCCAUCCUCCCGUCGUUGCUGCUGCGGAUGCUGCACAACCAAGCCUGGAUCACCAUCUCCCGCCUCCAAAACGCCCGUGGCCGCCGCCAGAUUGUUCGCCGCGGCAUCGAGUUCGACCAGGUUGACCGCGAGAGGAACUGGGACGACCAGAUCAUCCUGAGCGGUAUCCUACUAUACCUCGGCGCACUGUACGUACCGGGCGGGCAACACUUACCGCUGUGGAGGACGGAUGGCGCGGGGCUGAUCGCCUUGCUGCAUGCGGGGCCAGUGGAGUUCCUCUACUACUGGUUCCAUCGUGCGUUGCACCACCACUUUCUCUACACCCACUACCACUCGCACCACCACUCUUCAAUCGUCACUGAGCCCAUCACAUCCGUCAUCCAUCCGUUUGCUGAGCUCGUUGCCUACGAAUUGCUCUUCUCGAUCCCACUGAUCGCCUGUGCCUUGACUGGAACUGCUUCCAUAAUUGCAUUCGAGAUGUAUUUGAUUUACAUUGAUUUCAUGAACAACAUGGGGCACUGCAACUUCGAGUUGGUACCCAGCUGGCUCUUCACAUGGUUCCCUCCUCUCAAGUAUCUCAUGUACACGCCAUCGUUUCAUUCUCUGCACCACACUCAGUUUCGGACAAACUACUCCCUUUUCAUGCCGUUCUACGAUUAUAUCUACAACACCAUGGACAAGUCAUCAGACACUCUGUAUGAGAACUCACUGAAAAACAAUGAGGAAGAAGAAGCAGUGGAUGUGGUUCACCUUACACACCUGACCACCCUGCAUUCCAUCUACCACAUGAGGCCCGGUUUCGCCGAAUUUGCGUCCAGGCCCUACGUUUCCAGGUGGUACAUGAGGAUGAUGUGGCCUCUGUCAUGGCUCUCCAUGGUGCUGACAUGGACGUACGGUUCUUCAUUCACUGUUGAGAGGAAUGUCAUGAAGAAGAUCAGGAUGCAGUCAUGGGCCAUACCAAGAUACAGUUUCCAUUAUGGAUUGGAUUGGGAGAAGGAAGCUAUCAAUGAUCUUAUCGAAAAGGCGGUAUGUGAAGCUGACAAGAAUGGGGCUAAAGUUGUAAGCCUUGGACUCCUGAAUCAGGCACAUACCCUGAAUAAAAGUGGAGAACAAUAUCUGCUGAAAUACCCAAAGUUGGGAGCAAGAAUUGUCGAUGGAACCAGCUUAGCUGCUGCAGUGGUUGUCAACAGUAUCCCCCAAGGCACAGACCAAGUAAUUCUUGCAGGAAAUGUUUCCAAGGUGGCGCGUGCUGUAGCGCAAGCAUUAUGCAAGAAAAAUAUCAAAGUCACGAUGACAAACAAGCAAGAUUAUCAUUUACUCAAGCCAGAAAUACCAGAAACUGUAGCUGACAAUCUUUCGUUUUCGAAAACAGGCACCGCAAAGGUUUGGUUAAUUGGUGAUGGUCUAGAUUCUGCUGAACAAUUCAGAGCACAGAAAGGAACUCUGUUUAUCCCAUACUCACAAUUUCCUCCAAAGAUGGUACGCAAGGACAGCUGCAGCUACUCGACAACUCCUGCAAUGGCUGUACCAAAAACGCUGCAGAAUGUGCAUUCAUGCGAGAAUUGGCUGCCAAGGAGGGUUAUGAGCGCAUGGCGAAUCGCGGGAAUUCUUCAUGCGUUGGAGGGAUGGAAUGAGCAUGAAUGUGGUGACAAGGUGCUUGAUAUGGACAAAGUUUGGUCUGCUGCAAUUAUGCAUGGGUUCUGCCCAGUUGCUCAAGGUUGAUGAUUCAGUUGCAAAGUAUCAGAAUAAGUUUUAGCUGGAUUAUGCUAUGUGGUCACCGUAUCAGAAAGAGAGAUGUUCUGUUGGCAAGAAGAGAUAUAGUAUCUGAGUAAUUUCAUCUGCCAUGGUUUUUAAAACAUUGUUCAUCAUCUCCUUUGAUCAAAGACUGGCCAUGGCUACUUUCUGUAUAAGUAUCUGUCCUUUUUAGUCCAUAGUGUAAUUCAGCAACAAAACACUCUUGGCAUUGUUAUGCAGUCUCAUGAAUGUUUUUCCAGCAUACGGAAUUACGGAUCAACUCAUGAAUGCUUUGGGGUUCUAUGAGCCUAGCUUUCCGAA